UACGUAGGGUGCAAGCGUUGUCCGGAAUUAUUGGGCGUAAAGAGCUCGUAGGCGGCUCGUCACGUCGGCUGUGAAAACCCGGGGCUCAACCCCGGGCCUGCAGUCGAUACGGGCGAGCUAGAGUUCGGCAGGGGAGACUGGAAUUCCUGGUGUAGCGGUGAAAUGCGCAGAUAUCAGGAGGAACACCGGUGGCGAAGGCGGGUCUCUGGGCCGAUACUGACGCUGAGUGAGCGAAAGCCAGGGGAGCGAACAGG
This 254-nucleotide ribosomal RNA is filed under the name uncultured bacterium. RNAcentral's name for it is "partial 16S ribosomal RNA". It matches the Rfam family "Bacterial small subunit ribosomal RNA", at positions 524 to 776 of the family's 1533-position model. The record is from RNAcentral.